UUGACGAGUUAUCCAUGACCUCCGGUCUGUAGGGAUUCACGAUAGAAGGACUGUAUCAUAUGAUAACUGCACCUAGAGGUUCAUCAUUCUAUUCUGCUGGGUAGCCACUACAUACUGCUAGGUGUCACUGGUGGAUGGUGAGACUCACAGAGAUCAUCUUGAUGGUCGAUAAUCCCUGGUGAGUUGAGUUGAAAUUGUUUCAACCCAUUGAAAGAAGUUUUCAAUGAUAUUGUGAUAGAGAUCGCAAU
Molecule: long non-coding RNA, 248 nt
Filed under: Phoenix dactylifera (date palm)
Lineage: Eukaryota; Viridiplantae; Streptophyta; Magnoliopsida; Arecales; Arecaceae
Description: long non-coding RNA (PDAC_LNC010975)
Source: RNAcentral